Molecule: long non-coding RNA, 751 nt
Organism: Mya arenaria
Lineage: Eukaryota; Metazoa; Mollusca; Bivalvia; Myida; Myidae
Exons: 4
Source: RefSeq, a predicted model, not a curated record
UAUAUGUGAAUUUAGGUUAUUUUCAAUAUUGGUGCGCGACCGCGAGGGGAGUUAAGAAUGGAUAAAAUUACCUCCCCUGCCAAUCGAGCACUUACUAAUGUGGACGUUUCCGGAACGAUUGCAAACAAAAAUUAAUGCGUAUUACUUCGUAAUUGCAACAGCGAUUUGUAUCUGGUAGAUGACAAUAUUGCCGUUUGGUGCAGAAGAAACUCACUGACUCCGUGACAGAGUGUGUCCGCCUCGGGCUGGUUCAACUUUGAUGGCAAAGAAUAUAAAGGAUUUGUUAUAUCAGUGGUUCCCAGCUUUGGAGAAUGGUAUAAUGUUAAAUAUGACAAUGAUGAUGCUAUUUAUGCAUAUAACUUAUGUCAGGAUUACAAACAAGGUAUUUCUGUCUUGGCGCGGCGCACUUCGAUUCAUCUUAGCAGCAUACUAAGAAGUUGCCUGGUCCAAUAAAAGAUACGGGAUAGGUAUUUCUGUCUUGGCGCGGCGCACUUCGAUUCAUCUUAGCAGCAUACUAAGAAGUUGCUUGGUCCAAUACAAGAUACAGGAUAGGUCAGUGAUGGUUAUAGAAGCAGUCAGGAGUGAAUUGUGCACUGGAAAAACAUUCUAGAGUGGAAUAAAAAACUUGGGUCAGCUUUUUGUGAAAAGUGAAAAAAGUGACUUUCCGAAUGUUGAUUUUUUGCAUAAUCUGGAGUUGUUAAAUUCUAUGUGCUUUGACAUAACAUAAUAAAAGUAUACAUUUUUGUUAUAA